UGGGCCAGGAGGACCCCUGCGUGUGGGCGGCAACAGAGCACGCCUGGGCGGAGGCAGCGCCUACCCUACUUGCUUGGCUACUACAGUGAUGCAUGCACCGGUGAAGCACGCACACAUGCUUGCCUGGCCGCAUGUAUCUUCAUUGCUGCGAACAUCAUCUAGAUGACAAGCUACAAGCUCCCAACGCGUCUGAUCCAGGGUGCAUUAGGGCCAACCUGUUAUGGAAGAUGGCCAUGCUCACGAGCCCCUCUGGAUCAAAAUAGGUAUUCCUUUCUGCCUCUUUGGAUUCACUCAUAUUUUGCCUCCUGGAUUUGUCCUAUGGUACUAUAAUUGUAAAGUCUGGUCCUAAUUUACUUUCUGUGAUUUCGAGGCUUUAUUAAGCCCUUGGUGUUGAUUGAGCGUUUGCUCCUCUAAUGUUCAUGAAGUCCAUUGUUAUAUACCUCUCAUUGUAGGAUGGCAAAUUGUGGCAGCUGGAGCAUGUCUCAUAAGAGAGAGCAAAUUGUGGCAGCUGGUUCCGUCAAAAGAAAAGUACAUUGUACUGUUAUGAUAGUAGCAGAUGUUUCGUCAUUUUCUUAUUGUAUAUUCCCUUUGUUCCUGCUAUAUUCCUGUGUAAGGAAAUGUAUUCCUGAGAUGAUUUUUUUGUGUUAUGUAAACCUGGGAGAUGUGUUAUGUGAUGUGAUAUGAUGGUUGACUUGAAUUUGACCUGGAGUUUUCCUAAUUUGAAUGAAAUAAUGUUGGAUGUA
This is a long non-coding RNA of Aegilops tauschii subsp. strangulata, 743 nucleotides long. RefSeq lists it as uncharacterized. Lineage: Eukaryota; Viridiplantae; Streptophyta; Magnoliopsida; Poales; Poaceae. The record is from RefSeq and is a predicted model, not a curated record.